This 520-nucleotide ribosomal RNA is filed under the name uncultured bacterium. Its description in RNAcentral is "bacterial SSU rRNA". It matches the Rfam family "Bacterial small subunit ribosomal RNA", at positions 988 to 1509 of the family's 1533-position model. The record is from RNAcentral.
CCAGAGAACUUAGCAGAGAUGCUUGGUGCCUUCGGGAACUCUGAGACAGGUGCCGCAUGGCUGUCGUCAGCUCGUGUUGUGAAAUGUUGGGUUAAGUCCCGCAACGAGCGCAACCCUUAUCCUUUGUUGCCAGCGGUCCGGCCGGGAACUCAAAGGAGACUGCCAGUGAUAAACUGGAGGAAGGUGGGGAUGACGUCAAGUCAUCAUGGCCCUUACGAGUAGGGCUACACACGUGCUACAAUGGCGCAUACAAAGAGAAGCGACCUCGCGAGAGCAAGCGGACCUCAUAAAGUGCGUCGUAGUCCGGAUUGGAGUCUGCAACUCGACUCCAUGAAGUCGGAAUCGCUAGUAGUCGUGGAUCAGAAUGCCACGGUGAAUACGUUCCCGGGCCUUGUACACACCGCCCGUCACACCAUGGGAGUGGGUUGCAAAAGAAGUAGGUAGCUUAACCUUCGGGAGGGCGCUUACCACUUUGUGAUUCAUGACUGGGGUGAAGUCGUAACAAGGUAGGCGUAGUGCU